This 433-nucleotide ribosomal RNA is filed under the name uncultured bacterium. RNAcentral describes it as "partial 16S ribosomal RNA". It matches the Rfam family "Bacterial small subunit ribosomal RNA", at positions 29 to 507 of the family's 1533-position model. The record is from RNAcentral.
AACGAACGCUGGCGGCAUGCCUAACACAUGGAAGUCGAACGAGACCUUCGGGUCUAGUGGCGCACGGGUGCGUAACGCGUGGGAACCUGCCCUUAGGUUCGGAAUAACUCCCCGAAAGGGGUGCUAAUACCGGAUAAUGUCUUCGGACCAAAGAUUUAUCGCCUUUGGAUGGGCCCGCGUUGGAUUAGCUAGUUGGUAGGGUAAAAGCCUACCAAGGCGACGAUCCAUAGCUGGUCUGAGAGGAUGAUCAGCCACACUGGGACUGAGACACGGCCCAGACUCCUACGGGAGGCAGCAGUGGGGAAUAUUGGACAAUGGGCGAAAGCCUGAUCCAGCAAUGCCGCGUGAGUGAUGAAGGCCUUAGGGUUGUAAAGCUCUUUUACCCGGGAUGAUAAUGACAGUACCGGGAGAAUAAGCUCCGGCUAACUCCGUG